Long non-coding RNA from Sinocyclocheilus grahami, 383 nucleotides. RefSeq lists it as uncharacterized. The record is from RefSeq and is a predicted model, not a curated record. NCBI's taxonomy places the organism in Eukaryota, Metazoa, Chordata, Actinopteri, Cypriniformes, Cyprinidae. The transcript has 3 exons.
UGAAAAGUUCGAAGGAGACGAGUUGAGAAAAGAUGGCGAGGUGAAGAAAUACUUGGAUAUCAUCAGCAACAAAAACAUCAAACUGUCGGAGCGCGUGCUGAUCCCGGUGCAGCAGUAUCCUAAGUUUAAUUUUGUUGGCAAACUGCUGGGGCCCAGGGGCAAUUCCAUGAAAAGAUUACAAGAGGAAACGGGAGCAAAGAUGUCCAUCCUCGGCAAGGGUUCAAUGAGGGAUAAAGGCAAGGAGGAAGAGCUGAGGAAAAGUGGAGAGGCGAAACACGCCCAUUUGAGCAACGAUCUUCAUGUUUUAAUUGAAGUUUUCGCACCACCUGGAGAAGCCUAUUCCCGCAUGAGCCAUGCCCUGGAGGAGAUUAAGAAAUUCCUUG